CCUACGGGUGGCAGCAGUGAGGAAUAUUGGUCAAUGGGCGGGAGCCUGAACCAGCCAAGUCGCGUGAGGGAAGAAGGUACUGAGUAUUGUAAACUUCUUUUGUCAGGGACGAAGCAAGUGACGGUACCUGACGAAUAAGCCACGGCUAACUACGUGCCAGCAGCCGCGGUAAUACGUAGGUGGCAAGCGUUAUCCGGAUUUACUGGGUGUAAAGGGCGUGUAGGCGGGGAAGCAAGUCAGAUGUGAAAACCACGGGCUCAACCUGUGGACUGCAUUUGAAACUGUUUUACUUGAGUGCUGGAGAGGCAGACGGAAUUCCUAGUGUAGCGGUGAAAUGCGUAGAUAUUAGGAGGAACACCAGUGGCGAAGGCGGUCUGCUGGACAGCAACUGACGCUGAGGCGCGAAAGCGUGGGGAGCAAACAGGAUUAGAUACCCGGGUAGUC
This 444-nucleotide ribosomal RNA is filed under the name uncultured bacterium. RNAcentral describes it as "partial 16S ribosomal RNA". It matches the Rfam family "Bacterial small subunit ribosomal RNA", at positions 338 to 795 of the family's 1533-position model. The record is from RNAcentral.